ACCUGGGUGGCUCAGUCGCUUAAGCGUCUGACUUCAGCUCAGGUCAUGAUCUCAUGGUUCGCGGGUUCGAGCCCCGCAUCAGGCU
RNAcentral lists this transfer RNA (85 nucleotides) under Felis catus (domestic cat). It matches the Rfam family "tRNA". Rfam says of the family: Transfer RNA (tRNA) molecules are approximately 80 nucleotides in length. Their secondary structure includes four short double-helical elements and three loops (D, anti-codon, and T loops). Lineage: Eukaryota; Metazoa; Chordata; Mammalia; Carnivora; Felidae. The record is from Rfam by way of RNAcentral.